Schistosoma mansoni is the source of this 46-nucleotide non-coding RNA. Lineage: Eukaryota; Metazoa; Platyhelminthes; Trematoda; Strigeidida; Schistosomatidae. The record is from Rfam.
GCACUGCUGAAGAGUCCCACGAUGGGACGAAACAGCUGUCCAGUGC